Molecule: long non-coding RNA, 1369 nt
Filed under: Helianthus annuus (common sunflower)
Lineage: Eukaryota; Viridiplantae; Streptophyta; Magnoliopsida; Asterales; Asteraceae
Description: hypothetical non coding rna
Source: RNAcentral
UUUAGAAGUGGGUGUGUGUGACCGUGAGAACAAGACCAAGGGGGAAACCCUAUUUCUUCAAAAUCUUGCAAAUUAAAGGAGAAAAGGGCUAAAUUUUGAAUGCAUGAACUAAGAAUGAUGAUCAUCUAAGCAUACCCAACAUCAAUAUGAAUGUAUGUUGGUUGGAAUUCAUGUUGAAAUUGGUCAUGGAACGUGUCAAGGAGAGGUCAAGCAUAGGAGGAUAACGGGUCAAGAUAAGGCAAGGUGACAAAUACACUUAUUGGAGUACUCGAGGUAAGUGAAUUUCGAUUCACUUUUUAGUAGGUUUAAUAGAUUUUAAUACUUAUGUUUACGAAACAUCAUGAAAGAACAUGUGAUAAUCAGAAGUACAAAGCCAAUAAUGCCUCAUUAUUGAAGAAGGUUGUAUUUAAGCCGAAAGUAAAUUGGUGGGUUUAAACGGGUCGAAUUUUAUGUGCAUAUGUUGCGUAAUGUAAUGAAAUUCGUUAUGGUUAAGACCUUGGGUAAGAAUUUUAGUCAUUAUGUAAGGGGAACAUUUCCCGGACCAUUAGGAACAAGUUUUAUAUGAUUCGGUUGUCGGUUAGUGAAUGAACGGAUUGUUUCGUGUUAGUGUAGGAAAUUUUAUAAGUAUAUGUGUAUGGGAAUCCAAAGGCCACGUGGGUUGAAUCGUAGAUUGUCUAUACUAUGUAAAGUUGUAAAUGUGACAUUCCGGCAUAAACCUACAUGUAAAAGAAGCUUGUGUAUAUAUUCGUGAUUAAUUGAUUGUGCGUAGGAAGGAACAUUGGCAUGUAUGAAGGUACGCAUAUAUAUAUAUAAGUGUAUAUAUAUAUAUAUGUAUGUAUGUAUGAUAAUAAGUACGUAGGUGUGAAUGUAUAUGUGAAUGAAUGUUCAAUGCUUAAGACAUAUGCAUGAACGUAUCAAAGUGUUUGAGUAUUUAUGGAUACUAAUGAUGUGCGUUGAGUUGGAAUGUAAUGUAGGUAUGGGAUCGUUGGCUUCAUGAAGAAAUGGAGCUGGAUUUGGAUAAGAGUAUUUAAGAAAGCGCUUGGACAAUUCCACGACUACUUUAUAGAAUGCUCUACGAAAUUUUAUUAUAUAGUUUAAUGUUGAAUGGUAUGUUAAUGACUAAUGGUUUGGUUGUACGUGGUGUCCACAGGUAUCGCUUGGGUUUUCUCUACAUUUAUUGAAGUGAAGCGGACUUAGUUCGAGUUGAGAGCAAGGAUUGUACGGGGUAGAAUGGUCACAUAGUGUAACUCAUAUAGGUUUUGAAGUAUUAAUGUUAUAAAACGUUAUAAAUCCGUUUUAAUGAAUAUAUGGCAUUUCGCAUUUGAACCUUCAUGUGUUUGAUAUGUCUAUUAAAGAACGAAAUUUUUGG